RNAcentral lists this ribosomal RNA (943 nucleotides) under Fusarium oxysporum. RNAcentral describes it as "eukaryotic LSU rRNA". It matches the Rfam family "Eukaryotic large subunit ribosomal RNA", at positions 107 to 1081 of the family's 3401-position model. Lineage: Eukaryota; Fungi; Ascomycota; Sordariomycetes; Hypocreales; Nectriaceae. The record is from RNAcentral.
GCUCAAAUUUGAAAUCUGGCUCUCGGGCCCGAGUUGUAAUUUGUAGAGGAUACUUUUGAUGCGGUGCCUUCCGAGUUCCCUGGAACGGGACGCCAUAGAGGGUGAGAGCCCCGUCUGGUUGGAUGCCAAAUCUCUGUAAAGUUCCUUCAACGAGUCGAGUAGUUUGGGAAUGCUGCUCUAAAUGGGAGGUAUAUGUCUUCUAAAGCUAAAUACCGGCCAGAGACCGAUAGCGCACAAGUAGAGUGAUCGAAAGAUGAAAAGCACUUUGAAAAGAGAGUUAAAAAGUACGUGAAAUUGUUGAAAGGGAAGCGUUUAUGACCAGACUUGGGCUUGGUUAAUCAUCUGGGGUUCUCCCCAGUGCACUUUUCCAGUCCAGGCCAGCAUCAGUUUUCCCCGGGGGAUAAAGGCGGCGGGAAUGUGGCUCUCUUCGGGGAGUGUUAUAGCCCACCGUGUAAUACCCUGGGGGGGACUGAGGUUCGCGCAUCUGCAAGGAUGCUGGCGUAAUGGUCAUCAACGACCCGUCUUGAAACACGGACCAAGGAGUCGUCUUCGUAUGCGAGUGUUCGGGUGUCAAACCCCUACGCGUAAUGAAAGUGAACGCAGGUGAGAGCUUCGGCGCAUCAUCGACCGAUCCUGAUGUUCUCGGAUGGAUUUGAGUAAGAGCAUACGGGGCCGGACCCGAAAGAAGGUGAACUAUGCCUGUAUAGGGUGAAGCCAGAGGAAACUCUGGUGGAGGCUCGCAGCGGUUCUGACGUGCAAAUCGAUCGUCAAAUAUGGGCAUGGGGGCGAAAGACUAAUCGAACCUUCUAGUAGCUGGUUUCCGCCGAAGUUUCCCUCAGGAUAGCAGUGUUGAACUCAGUUUUAUGAGGUAAAGCGAAUGAUUAGGGACUCGGGGGCGCUAUUUAGCCUUCAUCCAUUCUCAAACUUUAAAUAUGUAAGAAGC